Molecule: ribosomal RNA, 691 nt
Filed under: uncultured Bacteroides sp.
Lineage: Bacteria; Pseudomonadati; Bacteroidota; Bacteroidia; Bacteroidales; Bacteroidaceae
Description: bacterial SSU rRNA
Rfam family: Bacterial small subunit ribosomal RNA
Source: RNAcentral
AACGCUAGCUACAGGCUUAACACAUGCAAGUCGAGGGGCAGCAGGGAUUUAGCUUGCUAAAUCCGCUGGCGACCGGCGCACGGGUGCGUAACGCGUAUCCAACCUGCCCAUUACUCGGGCAUAGCCCAGUGAAAACUGGAUUAACUCCCGAUGCUGUUCUGAAGUGGCAUCUUAUCAGGACAAAAGUUUACGGUAAUGGAUGGGGAUGCGUCUGAUUAGGUAGUAGGCGGGGUAACGGCCCACCUAGCCGACGAUCAGUAGGGGUUCUGAGAGGAAGGUCCCCCACACUGGAACUGAGACACGGUCCAGACUCCUACGGGAGGCAGCAGUGAGGAAUAUUGGUCAAUGGGCGAGAGCCUGAACCAGCCAAGUAGCGUGCAGGAUGACGGCCCUAUGGGUUGUAAACUGCUUUUAUGCGGGAAUAAGAUCAGAUACGUGUAUCUGCGUGCAUGUACCGCAUGAAUAAGCAUCGGCUAACUCCGUGCCAGCAGCCGCGGUAAUACGGAGGAUGCGAGCGUUAUCCGGAUUUAUUGGGUUUAAAGGGAGCGUAGGCGGGAUAUUAAGUCAGUCGUCAAAGCCUGUGGCUCAACCACAGCCCGCGAUUGAUACUGGUAACCUUGAGUGCGGAUGAGGUGGAUGGAAUUCGUGGUGUAGCGGUGAAAUGCUUAGAUAUCACGAAGAACUCCGAUUG